Mesocricetus auratus (golden hamster) is the source of this 1482-nucleotide long non-coding RNA. RefSeq lists it as uncharacterized. The record is from RefSeq and is a predicted model, not a curated record. The transcript is spliced from 2 exons. Lineage: Eukaryota; Metazoa; Chordata; Mammalia; Rodentia; Cricetidae.
GGUCCUGAAAGGCGGAGGUGAGCCGCUGCACCUCCUCUCCGCUCAGAUCCAAGUCCUCCAGCGCCGAGGAGGCCGCCGCCUUGGCCAUGGUGCCCACUCAGCCCCGGUGAAGGACCAGCCCGAACCGGAGCAGCCUAGGAAGGUAUCCCACCUUAUAAUUAUUCCUUAAAAACUCUUUGGGGGCAAAAGAUGGACUCUUCAAAAGCAAAUACCAAAUAAACAAGGAAAAGUUACUUUUCAUACUGUAAAUAUAAGGGCCCAUAAAUCACUUAGCAAAGUCAUGGAGUUUGUCCGGAUCAGUUUCCUUGGGUUGAAAAUUAAAGUUGAACAUCUUUUUAAAACCACAUUUCCUUAGAUGAUUCCGUAGUUUCUGUGAGUCUGUAAGAAAGAAUAUAAGCUCACGAGGAAUUAAUGGGACAGGUGUGGGAGUAAUACAAUGGAAUUUUAUGCCACCUGACUUCAUAGAAAUUUUGUUAUAAGGCUAGGGUCAAGAGACAGGACCUCACAGGUGUAGCAUGAGCUCUGCCACUGGGCUACAGCCCCCAGGUCCAGAGUAAGGUUAUGAGUUGAUACCUGGCCAGCCCCGGAUCAGUUUUAUGUGUACAGCAUUUAGUGCCGUUUACAUUGGCAUUAUUGCAGUCACAAGAUCUUUUCCAGGUUUUUUUCUCUUAACUCACACUUUUUUUGUGUAUGGGAGGGAGAAUAUCCUGUUCUUUUAGUUGUUUCUGCACAAAUAUGUAUUAUAUGUACUCAGAUGGACACGGUGGCGCACAACCCUAAUCCCAGCAGGGGAAGACAGAUCUCUUGAGUUCAAGGCCAAACUUCAAUUAAAAAAAAUUAAGGUGCCUUCAUGGAUCUUACUUUGGGGUGAAACUGUUGACUUCAAAAUUAGACCUUCAUUCCGACCUGACCACUGAGCCCUUGGAGACCCACAUAUUAGAUUUCUCCACCCGAAUGUUUGAUAAGCACCUCAGCAUGUUCAGAACAGAGACUCUGACGCAUCUCAAGCCUGAAGUCUCAGUGAAUACCACCACCUCCCCAGCUUUUAGGCCUAAAACUUAAAUAGAAUCCUUGCCUCCUCUUUACCUAUCCUCCACUGCCACUCAGCCAUCCGUCCUACCUUGUCCUACUGUAGCCCCAAUGUCUGCUGCUUUUCGUGUCUGUCUGAGUCACCGUGUCCAUACAACCUUCUGUAAUAAACUCCUCCCAGCUGCUCUCCUGCCUUUUCUUACAGUUUAUCUUCACACGGUUGUUUGGUAUCACUUUAAAUUUAUCAUUGCAUUUAUUUGCUUGUUUACUGUGAAUGCCAGUGGAGGUCAGAGGAUAACUUGGGGAACUCCAUUUUUCUCCUUCUACAAUGUGUAAUCCCCAGUAGGGGAUCAAACUCAGGAGAUGAGGUUCCACACACAGCAAGGGUUUAAGCUACUAAACCAUGUUACGAAUCCUUGCCUUGUAUCUUUAAACUAAACCCAUUCAUAUCGC